RNAcentral lists this transfer RNA (93 nucleotides) under Actinomycetota bacterium. RNAcentral describes it as "Actinobacteria bacterium tRNA-Ser". It matches the Rfam family "tRNA". Rfam says of the family: Transfer RNA (tRNA) molecules are approximately 80 nucleotides in length. Their secondary structure includes four short double-helical elements and three loops (D, anti-codon, and T loops). RNAcentral also lists the same sequence under 1 other name. The record is from RNAcentral. Lineage: Bacteria; Bacillati; Actinomycetota.
GGAGACGUCGCAUAGCCCGGUCGAGUGCGCCUCACUGCUAACGAGGUAUACCCCUUAAAGGUAUCGGAGGUUCAAAUCCUCUCGUUUCUGCCA